CUUGUACUCCCUCCGUCUGAAAAUACUUGUCAUUGAAAUGGAUGUAUCUAGAUGUAUUUUAGUUCUAGACACAUCCAUUUUGAUGACAAGUAAUUCCGUACGGAGGGAGUACUUG
Molecule: non-coding RNA, 115 nt
Organism: Triticum aestivum (bread wheat)
Lineage: Eukaryota; Viridiplantae; Streptophyta; Magnoliopsida; Poales; Poaceae
Source: Rfam